RNAcentral lists this long non-coding RNA (448 nucleotides) under Anas platyrhynchos (mallard). Its description in RNAcentral is "lncRNA (ENSAPLG00020003254.1)". The record is from RNAcentral. Lineage: Eukaryota; Metazoa; Chordata; Aves; Anseriformes; Anatidae.
UGCAAUGGGAGGCUGUGCUAGAGCUGUUCAGAAGGUGUUUGACCUUUGGGUAUUUGAGGCUAUCCUACCUGCUUUCCAUCUGCUGCUCUGGAAUGGGUCCUGCUAGCCUCAUGUGAAUGUCCUGAGUACUCUGCAGGCCCAGUACAGUAUCAAGGUACAUUGCUGUCUGUUGCCAGAGCACUUGUUCCCCAUUGGGUAUGCCAAGUGAUUCAUCCAUGGAAAACUGAAAACACUCAUUUAUUUCUCCACUCAAAGAACUGCUUUCCAGCUCUGCUCAGCUAGACAAGAUGAGGAAAAUGGGAACCAAGUAGGAAUUUUCUCACCCAGAUCUGUAAGCUGUUUUCAGCAUUGUUGAUGUGCAAGCUGCUCUAGUUUUGUUCCAACGCAAUAUAGGUGAGUUUAAAUUAAGAAACUUAUAAUUGAAUUUUUAAAGGUAUAAUUAAAUAUG